CGUAGGGACCAAGCGUUGUUCGGAUUUACUGGGCGUAAAGGGCGCGUAGGCGGCUUGUCAAGUCACUUGUGAAAUCUCUGGGCUUAACCCAGAACGGCCAAGUGAAACUGACAUGCUAGAGUGCAGAAGGGGCAAUCGGAAUUCUUGGUGUAGCGGUGAAAUGCGUAGAUAUCAAGAGGAACACCUGAGGUGAAGACGGGUUGCUGGGCUGACACUGACGCUGAGGCGCGAAAGCCAGGGGAGCAAACGGGAUUAGAUACCCCGGUAGUCCUGGCCCUAAACGAUGAAUACUUGGUGUCUGGAGUUAUUAGUGCUCCGGGUGCCGUCGCUAACGUUUUUAGUAUUCCGCCUGGGGAGUACGCUCGCAAGAGUG
This 373-nucleotide ribosomal RNA is filed under the name uncultured organism. RNAcentral describes it as "bacterial SSU rRNA". It matches the Rfam family "Bacterial small subunit ribosomal RNA", at positions 526 to 896 of the family's 1533-position model. The record is from RNAcentral.